CCUACGGGUGGCAGCAGUGAGGAAUAUUGGUCAAUGGACGAGAGUCUGAACCAGCCAAGUAGCGUGAAGGAUGACUGCCCUAUGGGUUGUAAACUUCUUUUAUAUGGGAAUAAAACAUGGUACGCAUACCUUCUUGUAUGUACCUUAUGAAUAAGGAUCGGCUAACUCCGUGCCAGCAGCCGCGGUAAUACGGAGGAUCCGAGCAUUAUCCGGAUUUAUUGGGUUUAAAGGGUGCGUAGGUGGGUUGUUAAGUCAGUUGUGAAAGUUUGCGGGUCAACCGUAAAAUUGCAAUUGAAACUGGCAGUCUUGAGUACAGUCGAGGUAGGCGGAAUUCGUGGUGUAGCGGUGAAAUGCUUAGAUAUCACGAAGAACUCCGAUUGCGAAGGCAGCUCACUAGACUGCAACUGACGCUGAUGCUCGAAAGUGUGGGUAUCAAACAGGAUUAGAUACCCGAGUAGUC
RNAcentral lists this ribosomal RNA (460 nucleotides) under uncultured bacterium. RNAcentral describes it as "partial 16S ribosomal RNA". It matches the Rfam family "Bacterial small subunit ribosomal RNA", at positions 338 to 795 of the family's 1533-position model. The record is from RNAcentral.